CAGUAGCCGCGGGAAUACAGAGGGUGCAAGCGUUAAUCGGAAUUACUGGGCGUAAAGCGCGCGUAGGUGGUUUGUUAAGUUGGAUGUGAAAUCCCCGGGCUCAACCUGGGAACUGCAUCCAAAACUGGCAAGCUAGAGUAUGGUAGAGGGUGGUGGAAUUUCCUGUGUAGCGGUGAAAUGCGUAGAUAUAGGAAGGAACACCAGUGGCGAAUGCGACCACCUGGACUGAUACUGACACUGAGGUGCGAAAGCGUGGGGAGCAAACAGGAUUAGAUACCCGCGUAGUCCCUGUCUCUUAUAC
RNAcentral lists this ribosomal RNA (301 nucleotides) under uncultured bacterium. RNAcentral's name for it is "partial 16S ribosomal RNA". It matches the Rfam family "Bacterial small subunit ribosomal RNA", at positions 509 to 807 of the family's 1533-position model. The record is from RNAcentral.